AACGGCCGCGGUAUCCUAACCGUGCGAAGGUAGCGUAAUCAUUUGUUCCUUAAAUGAGGACUAGUAUGAAUGGCCACAUGAGGGUCCAACUGUCUCCUGUGAUUAAUCAAUGAACCUGAUCUCCUAGUACAAAAGCUGGGAUAAACUCAUAAGACGAAAAGACCCUGUGGAGCUUUAAACAAAAACCAAUAUAUACCAUUAACCCUGCCCGGUGAAAUCAUAAUAUGCCUUGGUUAUAGUUUUAAGUUGGGGUGACUGCGGGGUAUAACAAAACCCCCGUGACAAGGCACGUAUCAUAGACAGACAUGUCCCCGACACCGCCUAUUGACCCAGUAUAACUGAUUAACGAACCAAGUUACCCCAGGGAUAACAGCGCCAUCCUCUUCAAGAGUCCUUAUCGCCAAGGGGGUUUACGACCUC
This 420-nucleotide ribosomal RNA is filed under the name Uroplatus guentheri. Its description in RNAcentral is "partial 16S ribosomal RNA". It matches the Rfam family "Bacterial large subunit ribosomal RNA", at positions 1926 to 2527 of the family's 2925-position model. Lineage: Eukaryota; Metazoa; Chordata; Lepidosauria; Squamata; Gekkonidae. The record is from RNAcentral.